AUUUCGCGCUGAGAGCUGGAUCACACUCGCAAGUCGAGCGGACAAGAAUAGCAACACACGCAAGUCAGCGUUGAACGCGUGAGUAAUGGUUAGGAAUCUGAGUUAUUAGUGGGGGACAACAUUCACAAAGGAGGGACUAACACCGGAAACGAAUGCUAAUACAAAGCAGGGGAUCUUCGGACCAUCCGCUAAUAGAUGAGCCUAAGUCAGAUGAGAUAGAUCGUGGGGUAAAGGCCUACCAAGGCAGAGAUAUGUAGCGGGUCUGAGAGGAUGAUCCGCCACACUGGGAGAGAGACACGGCCCAGACUCCUACGAGAGGCAGCCGUGGGGAAUAUUGGACAAUGGCAGCAAGCAAUAUCCAACCAUGGACCAAGAGUGAAGAAGGCCAUUUGGUUGCACAGCACGAUAAUCGUGGAAGAGGAAACUGGGAUCAAUACUGUAGAAUAAAGGACGUUACUCACCGAAUGAGCACCGGGUAAAUUUGUGCCCGCCGCCGCGGUAAUACAGAGGGUGCCAACGUUAAUCGGAUUUUAUGGGGGUAAAGGGGGGUUAGGGGGGUUUUUAAAUUGGAAGGGAAAUCCCCAAGGUUAAAUUCGGAAUUGCGUUGGAAACUGGGAAGCUAGAGUAUGGGAGAGGAUAGUGGAAUUCCAGGUGUAGAGGUGAAAUUCGUAGAGAUUUGGAGGAAUACCGAUGGGGAAGCCAGCCAUCUGGCCUAAUACUGACGCUGAGGUACGAAAGCAUGGGUAGCAAACAGG
This 755-nucleotide ribosomal RNA is filed under the name uncultured Actinomyces sp. RNAcentral describes it as "bacterial SSU rRNA". It matches the Rfam family "Bacterial small subunit ribosomal RNA", at positions 28 to 776 of the family's 1533-position model. The record is from RNAcentral. Lineage: Bacteria; Bacillati; Actinomycetota; Actinomycetes; Actinomycetales; Actinomycetaceae.